AUUGGCCAGGCUGGUCUCGAACUCCUGACGUUAUGAUCCUCCUGCCUCAGCACAAAUAACUGGCUUUUUUAUUUCUCAAGACUUAGAAGUCCUUGAAGAACAAAAGGAUGCUGGAAAUAUAAAAGAUGGUUCUCCCUUAAAACUAAAAAGGAUUCAUAAGACAAAAGAUAAAGAGAGACAUAAAAUUGGAGAAGAGGUUAUAUUGAGAGUACUAUCAAAGAGAAGCCAUGCCACAAAUAGUUUUAAGCAAGAAAAUAAAGUCUGCCAACAACCACGAGCAUGAGCUUGGAAGCAGAUCCUCCAUCCUGGUCAAGUCUUCAGAGACUACACAUCCGGGCCAAUUGUGUGACUGCAGCCUCACAAGAAACCCUGAUCCAGAGCCACUCAGCUAAGCUGCUCCCAAAUUCCUGACUCUCAGAAACUGAGAUAAUAAAUGCUUGUUGUCUUCAA
This 450-nucleotide long non-coding RNA is filed under the name Homo sapiens (human). RNAcentral's name for it is "novel transcript". Lineage: Eukaryota; Metazoa; Chordata; Mammalia; Primates; Hominidae. The record is from RNAcentral.